This is a non-coding RNA of Pogona vitticeps (central bearded dragon), 460 nucleotides long. The record is from RefSeq and is a predicted model, not a curated record. Lineage: Eukaryota; Metazoa; Chordata; Lepidosauria; Squamata; Agamidae.
CUAGCACAUAAGCAGAGCGACAUCCCAACAAAUCGAAACAGAAGCACAGCUGGAAGCAAACUUUUAUUGUUCAAGAUCUAGAACUUGGAAUUACCCAAGAAAACUGGAAGAUGGAAAAAGAAAUAAGAGCCACUUCUCUUCACCCAGUUCAUCAAGGAGCAUCUGGAACUCCUCUCUACCAGAUGUAGCGAUGGCCACAAGUGCUACAGGAAUCUUACCUGAUGAAUUUUACUCAUAGUGACACCUUCUCAUGUCGUUAAAUACCUUUGAGGGGGAGGCACCAGGUCAUUCCGGGACCUGCUCUGUGUAGAUCCGCUGCUGAGCCAGGUGACCCUAAAGGGAUGCUAGACUCCUGGGGGGUGAGUAGAAUGGAUCCUACCGCUUCAAAGAGCGGGAAGCUGAAUUUCAAUUUUGAAAGCUGCCUUAGAUAGAUAGAUAGAUAGAUAGAUAGAUAGAUAGA